Molecule: transfer RNA, 66 nt
Filed under: Candidatus Micrarchaeota archaeon CG06_land_8_20_14_3_00_50_6
Lineage: Archaea; Nanobdellati; Microcaldota
Description: tRNA-Gly
Rfam family: tRNA
About the family: Transfer RNA (tRNA) molecules are approximately 80 nucleotides in length. Their secondary structure includes four short double-helical elements and three loops (D, anti-codon, and T loops). Further hydrogen bonds mediate the characteristic L-shaped molecular structure. tRNAs have two regions of fundamental functional importance: the anti-codon, which is responsible for specific mRNA codon recognition, and the 3' end, to which the tRNAs corresponding amino acid is attached (by aminoacyl-tRNA synthetases). tRNAs cope with the degeneracy of the genetic code in two manners: having more than one tRNA (with a specific anti-codon) for a particular amino acid; and 'wobble' base-pairing, i.e. permitting non-standard base-pairing at the 3rd anti-codon position.
Source: RNAcentral
GCUGUCAUCUAGACUGGUAGGAUGCUAGCCUUCCAAGCUAAUAACCCGGGUUCAAAUCCCGGCAGC